GGGCCCGCACAAGCGGUGGAGUAUGUGGUUUAAUUCGAUGCAACGCGAAGAACCUUACCAGGGUUUGACAUCCUGCGAAUCUCUUGGAAACAGGAGAGUGCCUUCGGGAACGCAGUGACAGGUGGUGCAUGGCUGUCGUCAGCUCGUGUCGUGAGAUGUUGGGUUAAGUCCCGUAACGAGCGCAACCCUUGUCCUUAGUUGCCAGCACGUAAUGGUGGGAACUCUAUGGAAACUGCCCGUGAUAAGCGGGAGGAAGGUGUGGAUGACGUCAAGUCCUCAUGGCCCUUACGGGUUGGGCUACACACGUGCUACAAUGGUAGUGACAAUGGGUUAAAUCCCAAAAAGCUAUCUCAGUUCGGAUUGUCGUCUGCAACUCGACGGCAUGAAGUCGGAAUCGCUAGUAAUCG
This 407-nucleotide ribosomal RNA is filed under the name uncultured bacterium. RNAcentral's name for it is "bacterial SSU rRNA". It matches the Rfam family "Bacterial small subunit ribosomal RNA", at positions 917 to 1344 of the family's 1533-position model. The record is from RNAcentral.